Non-coding RNA from Pimephales promelas (fathead minnow), 2212 nucleotides. NCBI's taxonomy places the organism in Eukaryota, Metazoa, Chordata, Actinopteri, Cypriniformes, Leuciscidae. The record is from RefSeq and is a predicted model, not a curated record.
GGCAGUGUGCAGUAGCGUAGUGGCAAUCGGGAGAGUCGGGACUUUUCCCGGUGGGCCGGUAUUGUUUUGAGGCCGUGAGGGCCGGUCGGUCUGAUAAUAGUUAUACUAGUGUCUGAUAUUAUAUUAUUAGCAAUACCAUCUGGCGGCAGGCGGCCUGAUGUGCGGCCGCUUCCGCCGGUCAAACUGUCACUGUGCAACCUCUCUGUCUCCGCUCAACACUGUGUGCACUGCGAAGCUCAACCCGUUCGGCAGGUCCAACCAUGUUGGACCUGGAUUUUCAAAAACAUAGGGGGGUCAGAGCGCGGCGGCCCCUCCCUAAAUGGUAUAGCCUGUCGGCCAGCCUGUGAUGUAAAAAGUCACCGAACACCUCUUUUCCCGCUUCAUGUUUUGAAAGUUUAACGGACGGUCGGUGUGAGUGAGUAACUUAGUACUACUGUACUGAGUAAUGAUGGAAGAAAGGCAAAAAAGAAAACUGAAAGGUGGCGCUGAGAAGGUCAGACUCAAAAGAAAAAAAAUGAUGGAGGAGGAGGCAUGGAAAUGCUCCAAAAUUACAGACAUGUUCCGGGCAACAACGAGCAAAUACACUACAGGUGAAAUAAACUGAGUCUGAAGCACUUGUUGUGGGCGGAGUUCGGGCUGGCAACCAGGCUAGUGCUGCGCCAGACUAAUCUCAAAUAUUGUAAAGAUUCCUUGUAAGGUUUCAUUUUUUUAAAUGAACAACACUACACCUGAGAGAAAGUUUAACAUUUGGAAUACAGCCUCUUUUUGACUGCAUUUAUUCAUGAAACAUGACACUCCAUUUGUAGUCAGAUUGUGCUUGAAGGAGAUCAUUCACUGUAGGCAGGGCAGCAUAUUGGGCCAUGUUGGUCAAUCCUGAUGCUACACAACAGCUCAUACCACUGCGUAAAUUGGCCAUUUCAUCUGCAACAAACCUGUAUAGAAAACAGAUGCAAGGAAUGCAAUGGAAUAUAGCCUGCAUUAGACUUAGAUAUCUAAUGCAGUGUGAAAUGAUCUGUGAGAUUUAGUAUUUGAGGAAGUUACCAUUCAUCUGUCGUCUUAUCAUAGCACUCCACAUCACAGGUGGUGCUUAUUCCAUUAAACCCUCCGACAGCAAACAACCGACCAUUAACUACCUGGAUUUUGAGGACGUUAAAAAGGAAAAUACCAUAGACUGUAAAAAAAUAUGGACGUAGUAUCCGUGACGUCACCCGUAGGUUUCUGAAGACCGUUUUUGAUGCCUAAAGUGGGCGUAGCCGACCGUCGCCAUCUUGGCAUUGCGUCACUCCCGGAAAAUCGGAAAUGGUCAACUAGGCGGGACGUGGGUGGAGCCGCGGAACCUGUUGCUGAAAACAUGCCCACCUAGCUCGACGCUAUCAAGUUGUCUUUGAAUCCUUUGAAUGGAAGAUAUUGGCGGUUGGAUUUUGAACCGAAUCAAACCAAGCUUACAAUUUGAGUGAUCGAUUUUGAGGUGAUGGCCACCCGCGACAAAUGCACCACGUGUGCACAUAGCUUAAACUACACAGUGUGGAUCAUUGGUGACAGCUAUGUCAGACGUGGUGCCCAGAGAGCUGCAGAGACCAUGGGAAGCAACCUCAGUCUGCCAGGCGUCCGUGUCUGUUGGUUUGGUUGUGGUGGGCUGCGGUGGAAAUGACUUCUUCUGUUCUUCUCCCACUCCCUGUGAGGAAGAGCAGCACCGGAUGUCCUCCUCAUCCACUGUGGCGGCAAUGACCUGGGGGUGGUCAGCAGCGUCCAGCUGGUGAACACCAUGAAGGAGGACCUGCACCAGCUUAAACUCCGGCACCCUGGCAUGAAGAUCAUGUUUUCAGCUGUGACCCAGAGGUGCCGGUGGAAGGCCGGUGCCAAUCCAGUUAAAAUUGACAAGGCGAGAAAGUUUGUUAACAGUGUUAUGGCUACAUUUGUUCGUAGUUUAAAUAGUGCCAUGAUUGAGCACCCUUGCAUUAGACAUGACAGUCCUGGGCUAUUUUUGAAAGAUGGAGUUCAUUUCACACCUAGGGGAAAUGAUAUGUUUUUAAGUACAUUAGCUAACUGCCUUAAAGGCCACAUUCAAAUGCAGUAAACUCCGUACAGUUGGCAGUGUUACUGCUUUUGAAUUUUGCCUUUAUGGACAUUUUUGUAAGGCUCAAAUAUAGCCCUGACCAUCAUGUCUAAUUUUGAGGUUUUUAUGUUAAUUUAGAAACACCUGUAGCCAUAA